Molecule: RNA transcript, 6549 nt
Organism: Stegostoma tigrinum
Lineage: Eukaryota; Metazoa; Chordata; Chondrichthyes; Orectolobiformes; Stegostomatidae
Gene: scrn2
Gene name: secernin 2
Exons: 10
Source: RefSeq, a predicted model, not a curated record
GAGUAGGUUGCUGACGGUAGAGUGUGUUAGCUUUCGACGUGGCGUUUUGGCCGGAGGUUUUUCUCAUUUCCUGGACUGCAGCAACUUCCGUAUUAGAGAGCGAAGGGUUAAGUUUAUUACCUAACGGUGUGUGUGUGACUGUCAGCGCACUGUGAGAGUCAGACAUUGAUCUCAGCUUAGUCUGAACAGUGCUGGGACUUUCUCUAUAUAAACAAAGAAUGACUGCCAGUAUCGUCUGCGCUCCCUCCUCUUGUGACUGCUUUGUUGCUCUUCCACCUGCCACUGAGAGAAAAGAGGUGAUUUUUGGGAAGAACUCGGACAGACCCCUGGAUGAGGUUCAGGAAGUGGUUUACUUUCCUGCUGCUGUAUAUGCACCAGGCUCUAAGGUGGAGUGCACCUACAUUGAAAUCGAGCAGAAGGAGAAAACACAUGCAGUGAUUCUCAGUAGGCCGGCCUGGCUGUGGGGAGCUGCAAUGGGUGCCAACAGCCAUGGUGUCUGCAUUGGCAAUGAAGCUGUGUGGACUAAAGAGCCCAUCAAUGAGAAGGAAGCACUGCUUGGAAUGGAUCUUGUCAGGCUUGGACUGGAGAGAGGUUCCACAGCUAAGGAAGCCCUUGAUGCUAUCACGUCCCUUUUGGAGCAGUAUGGUCAGGGCGGGAACUGCAAAGAAGCCCCAGAAGCAUUCAGCUAUCAUAAUACAUUUCUGAUUGUGGAUAGGAAAGAGGCUUGGGUACUGGAGACAUCUGGGCAAUACUGGGCUGCUCAGCAAAUUACAGAAGGAGCAAAAAACAUCUCCAGUCAGCUGACUAUCACCACAGAGAUCAGCAGUGAGCAUCCUGGCCUUCGAAAUUAUGCCCAGAGUCAGGGAUGGUGGAGCGGUGUCAGUGAGUUCAAUUUCUGCCAGGUUUUCUCCCCAACUAACCCACCAGUGAGAAUGGAGGCUGCAAAAGCUCGUUACAUAGGAGGCAAGGAGCUGCUCUGUAAACAAGCAGGAAGCAUCCAAGCUGAGACUAUCAUGGACGUCCUACGUGAUAAAGAAAGUGGAAUCUGCAUGGACUCUGAAACCUUCUGUACCACAGGCAGUAUGGUUUCCAUUCUACCUCAGGAUGACAGUUUACCCUGUGUGCAUUUUUUUACAGCCACUCCUGACCCUUCGAGAUCUGUCUUCAAACCCUUCAUCUUUAUUGAUGAUGUUAUGCCAGUCCCUAUGGUGAUUUCCCCGAAUUAUGGUGGUGAUGACCCAGUCAGGAAACAGCCUCGGUUCCAGAGAAAAGUGGAUCGCAGACAUGAGUUGUACAAGGCCCACCAACAGGCUCGAGCUGUGAUGGAGAGUGGACAGGAGGAAGGUGUAAAAUUGCACCAGACUAUGCAAAACCUCGAGAGACAGGCAUUAAAUGCUAUCAAGAACAUGUUGACCAGUGGAGGAACUUUUGAUCCAGAGGAGUUGGCAGAUCUGUUCUUUGACUGUGUUGACACAGAGAUCAAAUUUUACAAAUAAACUGUCAAAUGUGAAACUCCUGCAAAUUCCCUUUAGAUUCACAUAAACAGAAGAUUCAGAAUUAGUCGCUGAGGAGAAACUGUUAAACAUAAACAUUCAGAAUUUUAGCCAAUUAUCAGAAGAAUUACUUGCAAUCCUGUUAUACUUUUUAAAAGGAACCAGAGCAAAGAUUGUGGUUUAUCAACUGCUGGACCAUUGACCAGAGAAAGUAAAGUAGAUGGAUAUCUUGCUUGAAGCCAUUGAAGCUGACACAUGCAUACACAAACGCCUCAUCAUAUGUGUUUGAAAACUCUCUUGCCUGCCCAUGGAUUUGCUGAUGUAUUGAUUUUUAACUAAUUGAAAAUUGUCUUUUGUAGCUGCUAAUCUUCAGGCACUGGUAAGCUGAUUGGCAGUGAAAUAUGUAUUGAAAUGUACUUCUAUUUCAGGAGACAAACUCUACAAAGGGAUACUAAUGCAGCUAUUCCUAAUUAGCCUGACCCACUAAACAGAAUAAUGUUGAGAAUAAUUAGUUUAAGUCAGAUGUGGGUUUGUGAUUUCAAAUUAACUAUCCUCAUUUUAAAAUACUCAUACAAAAGCGCAUUCUUGUGUUCAAGCAAACAUAGGCCCAAUAACCCAAUGCUAAAGUCUAUCAUUGGCAAUGAGCUGGGAAAUGUUAAACUAAUGCAUGGAGCCAUGACUACUUUUUGGGAAAAAAAAUUCACUUAAGUGCUCCAUUACAUUAGUAACAUAGCCUGUGAAAUGUGUUGCCAUGCCAACAAUGCCCUAUUCAGUUGGCAUUUUAAAGUGGCCCAGUGAUUUCUUAAUGUCCUGUUCCCUCCUUCUGGAAGUUUAUCCUAAAAUGUAGGUUUUCUGCACAAAGCAGCAGUUAUAUGGAGAUUGGUUUGGGAAAGAGCCAGUUGGGAAAGUGCCACUGUCCCUGCUGACAGUCAGAUUUUAAUUUCUUUUUAUAUAAACAGAAGAUCAAAAUGUUUAGUCAUUUCUGAUGUCCUGUGAUGGAAAGAGGGGCUCACCUUGAAUCUUGCUCGUAAGUGACAUCAAAUGAGUUCUGUUUGAAAGUGCUCAUGUGCAAACUUAACUCCUCAAAUUUGUAUAACUUAAUGCCAUUUAUUGCAAAGUCAUGGGCAUGGAGACUGUAAAGUGUCCUGCAAGAAUUGGGGUGGUGAGGCAUGGAGCAGAAAGAUACAGGAAAGAAAAGAGAUAAUAGGGACUGCAGAUGCUGGAGAAUCUGAGAUAACAAGGUGUGGAGCUGGAUAAACACAGCAGGCCAAGCAGCAUCAGAGGAGCAGGAAAGCUGACAUUUCAGGCCUAGACCCUUCAUCAGAAAGGGUCUAGGCCCGAAAUGUCAGCUUUGCUGCUUGGCCUGCUGUGUUCAUCCAGCUCUACACCUUCUUAUAUAGGAAAGAAAAGACUUGAGUGAAAUACUGCCCAUCUGUACUUGACAAGUAAAGUUAUCCCUUUUUUUUGGCGACAUCAUCUUUUAAUGGUGUCCUUCUGUUGCUUUGAUCUUCAUCUUCAAUUCUGUGGCCCAUGUGUAUCCAGUGAGUAGUUGUGAUAGUUUGACAACUGUGACUGUAAGGGAUGGAGCAAGCUUUCACCUGUUCUAUAGUUGUUGUUGAAACAAUAAUAGAAAAUACUCAAACAGUGUAAAGACAUAAUUUCUUACAUAAUCUAUGACAAAUGCUGCCAGACCUGAUUUUACUUCAGAUUUCCUGGAUUUCUAGUGGUCUGCUUUUCUGUUGUAGUCAUAGCCACUUUCUGUUUAUGUUAACGUUUUUUAGCUUGCAAAGCCUGCUUCAGUUAUUUUGAGGGUUGGAGGGCCUCGUGCAAGUGAAACCAAGGCUUAGUUGUACAAAACUUGAAUAUUAUAGAAAAGAGAGACGUGUUGUGAAAAUUACUUUUGUAUUGCAGUCAUCAGGACGAAUGCAAGAGUACCAAAUUUCAAAUUAUCACAACAAUUUUAUACUACAGGUGAAAAUACCAUAGACAUAGGAAAAGUGGGUCAUUCAGCCCACUGCGUCUACUCUGCCAUGCAAUGAAAUCAUGAUGACUAAUCUGAUAACUUUCAACUGCAGAUGGUGAUGGCUAGCACGAGGGGACAUCACUUUAAAUUGAGGGGUGAUAGAUAUAGGACAGAUGUCAGAAGUAGGUUCUUUACUCAGAGUAGUAAGGGCAUGGAAUGCCCUGCCUGCAACAGUAGUAGAUUCGCCAACUUUAAGGGCAUUUAAGUAGUCAUUGGAUAAACAUAUGGAUAAUAAUUGAAUAGCGUAGGUUAGAUGGGCUUCAGAUUUCACAGGUUGGCACAACAUCGAGGGCCGAAGGGCCUGUACUGUGCUGUAAUUAUCUAUGUUCUAUGUUCCACUUUCCUGCAGAACCAUCGCUUCAUUUUACUGAUUAAAAAUAUCUCUGUCAGCCUUGCAUGUACAUAGUGAGUCAACCUCAACAGCCUCGGUGUUAAAGAAUUCUGCAGAUUUACAACCCUCAAAAAUGUAUACUGAUAUCUCUCGUAAAUGUGUGCCCUCAUAUUCAUACUCAUCCACAAGGGCAAACAACUGUACCGUAGGUACCCCAUCAAGUCCUAUAAGGAUCUUGCAUUCUUGAAUAAAUGCAACCCUUGUUAUUUUAUAUUCUAACCAGUACAGGCCCAAUCUAUUCCAGCAUCUCCACAGGGUCCAUCAGAACCUAGUAUUGACCCAGUGAACCUUUCUCUUUAUUCAUUCACAGGAUGAAGAUGUUGUUGGCUAGGCCAGCAUUUAUUGCCCAUCCCUAAUUUCAGGUAGGCCAGAUCAGGCAAGGAUGACAGUUUACUUCUAGUGAACCAGGUGGGUUUUUCUGUCAUUGGCAACGGGUUCAUGGUCAUCUUAAUUCCAGAUUUUUUAAAAAAAAAUUGAAUUCAAAUUCCACCAUCUGCCAUAGUGGGAUUCUCUCCCCCAGACAUCUGAAUUAGAAGUCCAGCAAUAUUACCACUCUGCCAUCACCUCCCCUUCUCUGGACUGUCUCCAAUGCCAGUAUAUCUAUGCAAGCAUAAAUGGCCCAAGGCGAUUCACAAUAUUCUCAGGUGGUUGACUAGGUUCUUGUAUAGUUGUAACAAAAUCUCUGACCUUUACACACCAUUCCCUCUGAAAUAAUGAACUUGAAGCAUGUGAAUCGUGGAAAAAGCUGCUGAUUUGGUUUCAAUGAUUUCUCUGCUUGGCCAACACAUUGCCAUGGAGAAAGCAACAAGGAGGUCAUAUGCUCCCAAGCUCUGGGGUACCACAAUAAAGGCACUUUUGCUUUCUUCAUUUCAAACAGUUGACCAGCCAACUGACCCACACCCUCUUCUUCCAUAGUAUACAUUUUUGGGAUUGUUUGAAAUUUGGCAUUCUUGCACUUUUCCCAAUGGUUACAAGAUGAAACGCUUUUGAUUCUCUUUUCUGCAAAACAAGUAUGAAUCACCCUCCCUCCAAAUAAUCCCAAUUUUCAUUAGAAGUGCCAAGAACCCAUCAAAGCCUUUGGGAGAAACUUGGGGAUAACUUCAGAAGGAAAACAGGAAAUUGACAGGAAAAAUUCCUACCUUGCCACAUUUGAAGGACACACAAUUAUAUUUGCAAAAUGGUCUUUAUAUUUAGUUCUUGUAUUUAAAAAAAGAGCUUGGCUAGUUAAGUUGAAGGCUGGUUCUACAGUUUUAACCAGACUGUACUUAUUUCAACCUUAUAAUAUUCCAUUUGAAAUCUUGCUGUUUGGUAGUGAUCUGACAUCAGCCAAGGAAAGAUUGUACAGUAUACCCAAUUUAAAGGGAUCCUGAGUCUUAAGAGGCCAUUUAUAUUGCAGAAUUAAUUAAAGGGGAUGUGUAAUCCACUAAAUUGCUGUGUAAUCCUGCAUGUUGAAAACAUACACUUACUGGCGUCUCCCUGUCUCCAGUUCUGUGGGGGCGAAAUUCCUCUUUUAACGAAGAGCAGGAGUUGGCUUUUUUUUUGCCCCCUGUAAUUAAUGGCCUCACCAACCAAGUCAUUCUCAAGAUGGUCACAUGCUUGGAAAUAUUGCACUUGUGACUCCAUUUGCUGUCUUUGUAGAGACACAAAGGACCGUGUUUUUUAUUUGUUUCGUCCUUUAACAUUCCUCAGGGCACAGUCAUUUGGCAAAGAAUUUCCAUCACGUCAUACAUUUGGAGUCACCCCCUAUAAUCACUUCUUGACCUUUGUCCUCCAUGAUGUCGAUGGAGCAGUGUUAAAGCUAGAGAUUUUGGAGCCAGAAACUCCCCUUCUCAUAGUGGACUGUGAACAUUUAUAAAAUAUGAAAUUUAUAUAGAAAAAUUCUAUUUAAAUUAUAUUAUUUUAAAAUGUAGAAACUCUUCUCCUUUUACACCCCCUUCCAAAAAACUUAUGCAUUUUGUUUUUAGACUGAAUUUUAAUUUGCUGCUAAAUGAUUUGAGAUACUUAUUGACUACUCUUCGUCAGUCUUUUCCCUGGACAGAAUUGUUUUGGAAUGUGCAAAGAUAGGCACUCACCUCUUUUAAAGGAGUUUAACUUCGCUGGCCCUGCAUUUUCAGUGCACUGGAUAAUUGCUUCCCUCCAAUUCCUUUGUGAGCUAUUUUAACCCAACUUGUACCUGUUGCAAGGGAGGUAACAUCCAAAUUAAUGCAAGUAAGACAGAAAUUUAAUACAUGUGCACUCCCAAUAGAGAAUAGAAAAUAAUUAAACCUACAAAAAUGAGAGCUCCAAAUUUGAGUUUUACCAAGGAUUAGGGUUUCAUAGCGUAGAAAUGCAAUGUUAGUGGUGUAUGUCAAAAUGUCAACCAGUGUUCUGCACUUUGAGCAAUACAGAUGAAUAAUACCCUUUCCCUCUUUGUAGACUAGCAUAUGAGAUAAAAGGAAGGAAAAGUACAUAUUAGUUUAAAACUACGCCAAAGAAAAUGUUGGCAUAGCGUGCGGUGUACAAUAAAUAGUCAACGAAAAAUGUGUUAGAAAAAUGUUUCAAGAACAACCAGUUGAAGUUACUCUGUCACAGACUGUGAAAUGUUUUUGUUUCUGUAUUAUUUAUGAUGCUGUUAACUAAUAAAUUACAGGAAUGACAACAAA